CUUUUUGUUAAAAAAAAAAUAAAAAAGUAUAGUUGGCCUACCACAGGAAAAAAUAAUACUUAAAUUGAAGUGGAAAAGAGGAGAGUUGAGGCAUAAAGACGUGGAAAAAUGUGGCAUUAUACACUUUUCAGCUCAUUAGAAUGUGAAGUUCUUUGAUGCAUCUAUGAAUGGCUUGGGGAAAGUAAUAACCUUAUCUGAAAGGUCCUCCUCUCUGCUGCCUCCCACAAAAAAAGAACAAACCCUGCCCCCUAGAACAACUGGGCAUUGCUGUGAGAAUAGUAACAGCGCAUUUCUGUUGUAUUACAGCCGGAAAGCUUCUGUCUGUCAUUUGUUUCCCUAUGAUGAUGUUGGAAACAGCA
Molecule: long non-coding RNA, 359 nt
Organism: Oxyura jamaicensis (ruddy duck)
Lineage: Eukaryota; Metazoa; Chordata; Aves; Anseriformes; Anatidae
Exons: 3
Source: RefSeq, a predicted model, not a curated record